GUCAUAUCAAAUCUAAUAUUUCUUUCACUACCCUGUUUUUUUUUAGAUUUUUUUCUUUGAACUUGGUAACUUAAUCAGUUUAUAUUAUGUUGAUCUCGGAAUCUUCAUGCUGAAAUCAAACAUAUAUGAGUUUAUUAUGGAUUGUAUGGAUUGACUAUUCUUGUUCUAAUUUCUUAUGGGGAUUGAUUAUUUUCUAGAGGAUUUACCACUUAUGUUUACCACUUAUGGGGAUUGAUUAUGGAUUGACUAUUCUUUCUUUAGUGCUGCUGUUAAUAGUUGUGGGUAUUGGUUCAAGCCUAAUACAAGUUAUUUUCAAGCAUUCAUCUUGCUUGAAUGCUGUAUGUUUAUAAAAGGAAUCGUAGGUUCAAGUCUAAUUCAAGUUGGGUUUCAAGAUCCUAAUGUGGCUGGAUCUAAUUCAAUUACAGCCCUACCCUUUGGUUAAUUAAGUGCACCUAGCAUUUCUUUGAAAUAAACACAUCAUCUUUCUGUUUAAGCCAAAUCAUUUGAAAUAAAUAAAUCAUUUCCUAGUUCAUGCAUCCUAUAUCAAUAAAUAGUUGUUUAUCUUUCUUCCCCUUUAUUAUAUCAUCCAUUUUUUAUAUUCUUAUAGAUGGAUAAUGAAACGUUGACUGCAAUCGUUGGAGCUGCAACUAGUGGAGUUGUAGUUGCAUUGACCAUUGUUCAAGAGUGGUUAGACUAUAUUGAUAGGGAAUCUUCCGUUAACCAAGACUUGUAACAACAAGAUCUACUAGAUCUGUUGUAUAGGGGGAGACAUAUUGAUUGCUACUAUCAAUUAAAAAUGGGUAAAGAAGCCUUCUACAAGCUUUGCAAAAUUUUAUGGGAGAACGGACGACUCCACAAAACAUUGAGGACUAGUGUAGAAGAACAAGUUGAUAGAUUCUUGAAUACUUUAGCACAUAAUGUUAGGAAUAGGACUAUGGGAUUUCACUUUAGUAGAUCGGGUGAGAUAGUUAGUCGCCAUUUCAACUUGGUGUUAAAUGCGGUUCUCAAUUUAGAAGAUAAAUACCUGGUUCAGCCAAGUGGCACAGACACACCACCUAAGAUUAGAAACCAACAAGACUUUUGGCUAUAUUUUAAGGUCAUUGUGGUGUUAAUUUGUAAGAUAUCUAAAUUUAGGUGAUGAAUCAUAUAAUAAAUACAAACGGUAUGACUUGCUUGGUAGGAUUGUUUUAGGACAAUUGACAGGACACAUAUACCUGUAAAAGGUCCACUGUCAAAUGUAGCUACAUUCCGUGGUCGGAAGUCCUAACCCACACAAAAUAUUCUUGUUGCAUGUUCAUUUAACUUGCUUUUCACAUAUGUUUUACCUUGAUGGGAGCGAGUUGCAUCAAAUUCCCACAUGCUAAAUAGUGCAUUGACAAGGGAACACAAACUACAAGUCCCAAAAGGUAAAUAUUACCUGGUAGAUACGAGUUUUGCUCUCAAGGUUGGGUUCUUAGCCCCAUAUCGAAGCACAAGAUACCAUUUGAAGGAAUGGGGUUUGCAUCAACCUAAGAACCCCAAAGAGUUGUUUAACCUCCAUCAUGCCUCACUUCGAAAUGCAGUUGAGCAGAUUUUUGGGGUCCUUAAGAAACGUUUUCCACUCCUAAUUUCCGAGCAACACUACCCAUUCAAAACAUAAGUCAAUAUUGUGUCUGCAUUGUGCAUAUUACAUAAUCAUGUAAUGGGAGUGGACCCAUAUGAUCAAAUCAUGUCUCAGUAUGAUCGUGAGGUAACUGAAGGUGUGGAUGUUGAUGUAGAUGACGGGGCAGAGCCAGAUGAUGUGUUUGAUGACACUCAUGUGUCUCAUCCAUCUCAACGCAUUGGCAGAAAUGAGUCUGUGAGAGAAGGACACCGUCUUAGAGAUAAGAUAGCUAACCAAAUGUGGGCAGACUACCAAGUGACUCGAUCGAGACACCGUCAUUAAACAUCCUUUUUUUUUUUACCUUCACAUGUACUUUGUUUGACUUCAUUAUGCAGAUGUAAUCUUGGUUAAAGUGCUACUAUCUAUGGUUGUUUGCUUGACUUGGGUGUUUUAUAAACCUUUGUGGUAUUAACUUUAACAUGGGUGGUGUUGUUUGAUUUCGAAUGAAAGACCUUGAUUUAUAUGUA
Long non-coding RNA from Nelumbo nucifera (sacred lotus), 2109 nucleotides. RefSeq lists it as uncharacterized. The record is from RefSeq and is a predicted model, not a curated record. NCBI's taxonomy places the organism in Eukaryota, Viridiplantae, Streptophyta, Magnoliopsida, Proteales, Nelumbonaceae.